UCUAAGGUGACUGCCGGCUAAAAGUCGGAGGAAGGUGGGGAUGACGUCAAAUCAUCAUGCCCCUUAUGGACCUGGGCUACACACGUGCUACAAUGGGCGGUACAAAGGGUCGCGAACCCGCGAGGGGGAGCCAAUCCCAAAAAGCCGCUCUCAGUUCGGAUUGCAGGCUGCAACUCGCCUGCAUGAAGCCGGAAUCGCUAGUAAUCGCGGAUCAGCAUGCCGCGGUCGAAUACGUUCCCGGGCCUU
RNAcentral lists this ribosomal RNA (246 nucleotides) under uncultured Anoxybacillus sp. Its description in RNAcentral is "partial 16S ribosomal RNA". It matches the Rfam family "Bacterial small subunit ribosomal RNA", at positions 1139 to 1382 of the family's 1533-position model. Lineage: Bacteria; Bacillati; Bacillota; Bacilli; Caryophanales; Anoxybacillaceae. The record is from RNAcentral.